This 579-nucleotide ribosomal RNA is filed under the name uncultured bacterium. RNAcentral's name for it is "partial 16S ribosomal RNA". It matches the Rfam family "Bacterial small subunit ribosomal RNA", at positions 355 to 926 of the family's 1533-position model. The record is from RNAcentral.
UGGGGAAUUUUGGACAAUGGGGGAAACCCUGAUCCAGCCAUCCCGCGUGUGCGAUGAAGGCCUUCGGGUUGUAAAGCACUUUUGGCAGGAAAGAAACGUCGCGGGUUAAUACCCCGCGAAACUGACGGUACCUGCAGAAUAAGCACCGGCUAACUACGUGCCAGCAGCCGCGGUAAUACGUAGGGUGCAAGCGUUAAUCGGAAUUACUGGGCGUAAAGCGUGCGCAGGCGGUUCGGAAAGAAAGAUGUGAAAUCCCAGAGCUUAACUUUGGAACUGCAUUUUUAACUACCGGGCUAGAGUGUGUCAGAGGGAGGUGGAAUUCCGCGUGUAGCAGUGAAAUGCGUAGAUAUGCGGAGGAACACCGAUGGCGAAGGCAGCCUCCUGGGAUAACACUGACGCUCAUGCACGAAAGCGUGGGGAGCAAACAGGAUUAGAUACCCUGGUAGUCCACGCCCUAAAACGAUGUCAACUAGCUGUUGGGGCCUUCGGGCCUUGGUAGCGCAGCUAACGCGUGAAGUUGACCGCCUGGGGAGUACGGUCGCAAGAUUAAAACUCAAAGGAAUUGACGGGGUCGAUAGC